AUGAAACUUCGCAGAUCCACACAUCAUAAACAAAAUUUGCUACCCCAUAAAAUCCGGUCAUCAUCACCAUACGCAGGUUUCCCACAACCAGUACAAGGUCCACAGCAGCAGCAGAAUGAUGCCCCCUCUCAUAUACCAGGGUUACAUGAUGAAACCACGGCCCUUUUAGAUAUUACAACGCGGUUGAUUUCCUUUUUCGCAAGGAGAAUCUUCUACCUCUGGAACGGUAUCGGUGCACGUCCUGGCCAAGUUUCGAUCUUCUCGAAGUACUUGACGGGGACGACGCCGUCGAAGCCCUCCGUCAGUAUCACCUUGUUGUCUGAGAUGUAUAGCUUCAUCCCGUCUGGGAAACAAAUUUGGAAAUCAAAUGUUAGCCUCUAG
This 381-nucleotide ribosomal RNA is filed under the name Triticum aestivum (bread wheat). RNAcentral describes it as "partial small subunit ribosomal RNA". Lineage: Eukaryota; Viridiplantae; Streptophyta; Magnoliopsida; Poales; Poaceae. The record is from RNAcentral.